Long non-coding RNA from Nerophis ophidion (straightnose pipefish), 479 nucleotides. RefSeq lists it as uncharacterized. Lineage: Eukaryota; Metazoa; Chordata; Actinopteri; Syngnathiformes; Syngnathidae. The record is from RefSeq and is a predicted model, not a curated record. The transcript is spliced from 3 exons.
CAGGCACCCGUGUGGCCUACUACCACGAGGACCCUGCUGCCGCUAUCUGACAGCUUUGCGGCCUAAUGGCACAUUCCUGGACGCUCUUCGGCACACAAAGAACACGUGAGAGCGAUAUCUGACAGCUACAAGGCCUCCUUUCGUUCCUUCACCCAUGCGAGGAACAUUUCUGAACAAAAAGACAUUCUAACUUCUUCCGCUCACUUUGACAUCCUCGCUCACGUUCCAGCCGUCGAAGAAGGCAUCUGUUGGGACCAGUCCUGCUGCGAGCCAGGUACCCCUGAGACAGGAAUGGCAAAAGGGGGGAGCGCUCGCAGGAAGGAGGUGUCAGAAAGAAGCUGUGCUAAUGUGCUCGGUCAGUACUCAGACAUUCCCAGGAGAGCCCGCAGGGGGUCCAAAGCUUUGCAAUUAUUAUCAUGGUAGCGAGUUGGGAUUUGUUGUUGUGACAUUUCAUUAAAGGCCUACUGAAAGCCACUACU